UCACGUGCCAUGUUGAAGAAAGCACGUUGGACUUCUAGUCCAAAGAUCCUGGGUUCGAAUCCCAGCUGAAGAG
This is a non-coding RNA of Trichonephila clavata, 73 nucleotides long. Lineage: Eukaryota; Metazoa; Arthropoda; Arachnida; Araneae; Nephilidae. The record is from the annotation of a GenBank genome assembly.